RNAcentral lists this ribosomal RNA (160 nucleotides) under uncultured bacterium. RNAcentral's name for it is "partial 16S ribosomal RNA". The record is from RNAcentral.
GCACAGAGUUAGCCGUCCCUUCCUCUUUCGCUACUAUCAGUGUUUCCAAUGUUCUCGGAAACACCUUGAUCGCAAAUGACAGGGGUUUACGGGCCGAAGCCAUUCAUCCCCCACGCGGCGUCGCUCCAUCAGGCUUUCGCCCAUUGUGAAAAAUUCUCGA